Molecule: ribosomal RNA, 229 nt
Filed under: uncultured bacterium
Lineage: Bacteria
Description: partial 16S ribosomal RNA
Rfam family: Bacterial small subunit ribosomal RNA
Source: RNAcentral
UGCGUAGGCGGAUUAAUAAGUCAGUGGUGAAAUCUUUCGGCUCAACCGAGAAGCUGCCAUUGAUACUGUUAAUCUUGAGUUCGGUUGAGGUAGGCGGAAUGUGUAAUGUAGCGGUGAAAUGCUUAGAUAUUACACAGAACACCAAUUGCGUAGGCAGCUUACUAGACCGACACUGACGCUGAGGCACGAAAGCGUGGGGAGCGAACAGGAUUAGAUACCCUGGUAGUCC